RNAcentral lists this ribosomal RNA (590 nucleotides) under uncultured marine eukaryote. RNAcentral's name for it is "SSU rRNA". It matches the Rfam family "Eukaryotic small subunit ribosomal RNA", at positions 1 to 598 of the family's 1831-position model. The record is from RNAcentral.
AACCUGGUUGAUCCUGCCAGUAGUCAUAUGCUUGUCUCAAAGAUUAAGCCAUGCAUGUCUAAGUAUAAAUAGUAUACAGUAAAACUGCGAAUGGCUCAUUAAAACAGUUAUAGUUUAUUUGAUAAUGGAAGGCUACAUGGAUAGCCGUGGUAAUUCUAGAGCUAAUACAUGCUGUUAAACCUGACUCCUGGAAAGGUUGUAUUUAUUAGAUAUCAAGCCAAUAUUCCUUCGGGUCUAUUGUGGUGAAUCAUAGUAACUGAUCGAAUUGCAGGAUACCUGCGAUAGUUCAUUCAAGUUUCUGCCCUAUCAGCUCUCGAUGGUAGUGUAUUGGCCUACCAUGGCAGCAACGGGUAACGGAGAAUUAGGGUUCGAUUCCGGAGAGGGAGCCUGAGAAACGGCUACCACAUCUAAGGAAGGCAGCAGGCGCGUAAAUUACCCAAUCCCGAUUCGGGGAGGUAGUGACAAGAAAUAUAAACCCGGGGAAUUCUAUUCUUACGGGAUUUAAAUGAGAACAAUUUAAAUCACUUAGCGAGGAACAAUUGGAGGGCAAGUCUGGUGCCAGCAGCCGCGGUAAUUCCAGCUCCAAUAGC